GCGCGUAUGCGAAUACGAGCGGCAGACGGGUGAGUAACGCGUAGGAAUCUACCUUUUUCUACGGGAUAACGCAUGGAAACGUGUGCUAAUACCGUAUACGCCCUAUUGGGGGAAAGAUUUUAUUGGAGAGAGAUGAGCCUGCGUUGGAUUAGCUAGUUGGUAGGGUAAGAGCCUACCAAGGCUACGAUCUAUAGCUGGUCUGAGAGGACGAUCAGCCACACUGGGACUGAGACACGGCCCAGACUCCUACGGGAGGCAGCAGUGGGGAAUAUUGGACAAUGGGGGCAACCCUGAUCCAGCCAUGCCGCGUGAGUGAAGAAGGCCUUAGGGUUGUAAAGCUCUUUCGCCGGAGAAGAUAAUGACGGUAUUCGGAGAAUAAGCCCCGGCUAACUUCGUGCCAGCAGCCGCGGUAAUACGAAGGGGGCGAGCGUUGUUCGGAAUAACUGGGCGUAGAGGGCUCGUAGGCGGGCGAUUAAGUUAGAGGUGAAAUCCCAGGGCUCAACCUUGGAACUGCCUUUAAUACUGGUUGUCUAGAGUUUAGGAGAGGUGAGUGGAAUUCCGAGUGUAGAGGUGAAAUUCGUAGAUAUUCGGAGGAACACCGGUGGCGAAGGCGGCUCACUGGCCUGAUACUGACGCUGAGGCGCGAAAGCGUGGGGAGCAAACAGGAUUAGAUACCCUGGUAGUCCACGCCGUAAACGAUGAGUGCUAGCUGUUGGGUGGUUUACCAUUCAGUGGCGCAGCUAACGCAUUAAGCACUCCGCCUGGGGAGUACGGUCGCAAGAUUAAAACUCAAAGGAAUUGACGGGGGCCCGCACAAGCGGUGGAGCAUGUGGUUUAAUUCGAUGCAACGCGCAGAACCUUACCAGCCCUUGACAUGUAUAGGACGAUAUCAGAGAUGGUAUUUUCUUUUCGGAGACCUUUACACAGGUGCUGCAUGGCUGUCGUCAGCUCGUGUCGUGAGAUGUUGGGUUAAGUCCCGCAACGAGCGCAACCCCUGCCUCUAGUUGCCAUCAAGUUUAGGUUUUUACCUAGAUGUUGGGUACUUUAUAGGGACUGCCGGUGAUAAGCCGGAGGAAGGUGGGAUGACGUCAAGUCCUCAUGGCCCUUGUGGCUGGGCUACACACGUGCUACAAUGGUGGUUACAAUGGGUUGCGAAGUCGCGAGGGUGAGCUAACUCCAAAAACCCGUCCUCAGUUCGGAUUGCAGGCUGCAACUCGCCUGCAUGAAGCCGGAAUCGCUAGUAAUCGCCGGUCAGCCGUACGGCGGUGAAUUCGUUCCCGGGCCUUGUACACACCGCCCGUCACACCAUGGGGAGUGGGUUGCACCAGAAGUAGCUAGUCUAACCUUCGGGAGGACGGUUACCACGGUGUGAUUCAUGACUGGGGUGAAGUCGUAACAAGGUAGCCGUAGGGGAACCUGCGGCUGGAUCACCUCCUUUCUAAGGAAGAUGUUGAGUAUCAUUGAAUUUAUUGAGUGAUCUGAACGUUUUUUGAAGAUUAAAGCUUUUAAUUAAGCUUGAUAUAAAUUUGCUGUUGUGAAGCAGCGUUUUUAAAAGGAUCGCCGUCCAUGUUUCUCUUUCUUUUCGGAUUUUUUGCGAUGAUGGGGGGUCGUUAAUAUUUGGUUUUGAGGGCCCGUAGCUCAGGUGGUUAGUGUGCACCCCUGAUAAGGGUGGGGUCGGUAGUUCAAAUCUACCUGGGCCCACCACUUUUUGUUCAGGGGGCCGUAGCUCAGUCGGUAGAGCGCCUGCUUUGCAAGCAGGAUGCCAGCGGUUCGAUUCCGCUCGGCUCCACCAUUGGCGUAAUUAUGGAAUUUUGUUCUGAUUUUUUGGAGCAAGAGUUUUUUGAAAAUUGAAUAGAAGAUAUAUUUUUUUGUAUUUUCUAUGUUGGCAUUGUAUGCGACAUAUAAGAUACCGGCGUUGUUAACCGCACGUUGAGAAUUUAUCUCAGGAAAUUGGUCUAUUGAAGAAGCAUAAGGAUAUUAUGUUUUUUUAAUUAUAAAGAGUUUGCAAAGAACUUUAUGACGAUUGACAAUGAGAGUAAUCAAGCGCGAAAGGGCAUUUGGUGGAUGCCUUGGCAUGCACAGGCGAUGAAGGACGUGAUAUGCUGUGAUAAGCUAUGGGGAGCUGCAAAUAAGCAUUGAUCCGUAGAUUUCCGAAUGGGGUAACCCGCCUUAUGUGCCUAGGAAACUGAACUAAGUUGGUUUAAUUUUCUAGGUAUUUUGAAGGUAUCUUUAUCUGAAUGAAAUAGGGUAAAAGAAGCGAACGCAGGGAACUGAAACAUCUAAG
Molecule: ribosomal RNA, 2284 nt
Filed under: Candidatus Liberibacter asiaticus
Lineage: Bacteria; Pseudomonadati; Pseudomonadota; Alphaproteobacteria; Hyphomicrobiales; Rhizobiaceae
Description: bacterial SSU rRNA
Rfam family: Bacterial small subunit ribosomal RNA (bases 1-1438)
Source: RNAcentral